GUGUCAGCCGCCGCGGUAAUACGGAGGAUGCAAGCGUUAUCCGGAAUUAUUGGGCGUAAAGCGUCCGUAGGUGGCUAUUCAAGUCAGAUGUUAAAGCGUGGGGCUUAACUCCAUAAAGGCAUCUGAAACUGAUUGGCUAGAGUGCGAUAGGGGCAAGGGGAAUUUCCAGUGUAGCGGUGAAAUGCGUAGAUAUUGGAAAGAACACCGGUGGCGAAAGCGCCUUGCUGGGUCUGCACUGACACUGAGGGACGAAAGCUAGGGGAGCGAAAGGGAUUAGAUACCCCUGUAGUCC
Molecule: ribosomal RNA, 292 nt
Filed under: uncultured bacterium
Lineage: Bacteria
Description: partial 16S ribosomal RNA
Rfam family: Bacterial small subunit ribosomal RNA
Source: RNAcentral